RNAcentral lists this transfer RNA (72 nucleotides) under Ovis aries (sheep). It matches the Rfam family "tRNA". From Rfam's summary of the family: Transfer RNA (tRNA) molecules are approximately 80 nucleotides in length. Their secondary structure includes four short double-helical elements and three loops (D, anti-codon, and T loops). Lineage: Eukaryota; Metazoa; Chordata; Mammalia; Artiodactyla; Bovidae. The record is from Rfam by way of RNAcentral.
UCCUUGGCCAUUCAAUGGUUAGGACUCAGCACUUUGACUGCUUGGGCCUGGGUUCAAUCCCCAGCCAGGGAA